Long non-coding RNA from Micropterus salmoides (largemouth bass), 1759 nucleotides. RefSeq lists it as uncharacterized. Lineage: Eukaryota; Metazoa; Chordata; Actinopteri; Centrarchiformes; Centrarchidae. The transcript has 3 exons. The record is from RefSeq and is a predicted model, not a curated record.
GAUGGCUGUCUUAACAUCGACGCCAGCCCUGCUUGUUCACAUGUUCAUGGAUCUUUGCUCUGUGUCAAGAACAACUGGAGACAUUGAAGCCUGGAGAGGACGCCACUCUUCAGUGUCGGGGUUACAGAGGUGCUGUCAUCACAGUGAUAGAGUGGAGCAGAUCUGACCUGGAGCCAGAUGAUGGUUAUGUCUUCUACUUCAGAGAAGGUCGCUUGUAUGAAAACUACCAGCAUUCACUGUUUCGUGGUCGAGUGGAGCUCAGAGAUCCAGAAAUGAAGGACGGAGACUCUUCUGUGAUUCUGAAGAACGUCAGCAUCAACGACACUGGAACAUACGAGUGUCGGAUUGGAGAGGAAAACACAAGACGUAGAAAGAGAGACGCAGGCAAACCUGAUCCCAGCAGCAUCAUCAGGCUGACAGUGACAGAGCCAGGUCACACAGCUGGACACAAGGAGGGAGGAGACAAGGAGGGAGGAAACAAGGAGGGAAAUUUUGCACUGAAAAUUGGUCUGCCAGUUGGUGUGCUUCUUCUAAAUGGUGUUUUUCUUGUUAGUUUUAUGAUCUUUAGAAAACAUAACAGACAAACACACCAUAAUUCAUUCCAACAUCCUGCUGAACAGGAGAUAUAACUAUGACAAAAUAAUGAGGUAUAAUAAAAUACAUACAAAGCGACCUGGUUUCAAAAAUACUUUCAUUAAAUCUUAAAUUUGCUCUGAUGUUCUGUGUGUCUGUGUGUGAAUAUGGUGGCUCAUAGGUUUCAGGCCUAAUACAAAAGCCACAAAACAAAUUCAAAAACCACAACGGAAAUACAAAAGGCCACAACGGAAGUUGACAACGAAGAGACGCUUAGUAACAGUGGAUUACUUUCCGCAGAAUACAGCUACACAGCAGUACAGCGGCAGUGUAGCCAUCCCACAUUCAGGACGUAUUUACGCAUAAUAGCGUCUGCCAAAUUAGUAAAUGUAGGCUUACAUGGAAGAAGAACUUCUUACCCGUUUGAUAAAUAAGUAAUACUUUGUUCUGGUCAAAUAAUAUACAGCGGGAUAUUUGUGUGAAUUAAACAGCUAUAUAUAUAUAUAUAUAUAUAUAUAUAAUAUAACUAGCUAGUGUUGAAGUGCAACGACUUCCCGGAGUUGGUUGAUGAGGGAAGAACUGAGAGGAGUCUGAGAAGUCUGUUGAAUACCAAAUAUUUAUUAUAGAAAUACAAACAUAUCUGGAGACAUGCACAGCACAACGGCCUAACAGCAAGUCUGCGGUUCUUCAACCAAGCCUGAGUAUAUCUUCAGGAGACCGCACCCCUGCUGUAUCUUUUAGAGAUAUCCAUACAUGGUGAAGUCAGUUUAUGUAGCAUAUUCUAGUGCACCUUAACGUAUUAACUGUAUUAAGGAAAGUGUGAAGUGUGUCAGAGUGUAUUGCUAUCAGGGCCCGGUUUCCUAUCAUUGAGCACAAGCUUCUGACUGUCUUAACUGCUGAAUUAAUAAGAUAAGCAUGUUACACAAUAUUGAGUAUCAUAUGAGCAAUCAUAAGUAAUAAGUAAGCAUAUAAGAGAAUCAUAUCCUGCGAUAUCACUGUAGGGUUGUGUUGUAUAUCCACAGUUAACUAGAAAAUGUAUUGAUUGAAAAAGAUGUUUUAAUCGUAGCUUCUAAACUGUAAAACUUUGACAUUUAAAACUUCAGGAUGUGUUAAAGUACUAACUAAUGUUUUGUCUGAUCAUGACCAUGACACAUGGAACAAUAAACACAACUCGUCAUUAAAAUCA